Molecule: long non-coding RNA, 1128 nt
Filed under: Homo sapiens (human)
Lineage: Eukaryota; Metazoa; Chordata; Mammalia; Primates; Hominidae
Description: HSALNT0120052
Source: RNAcentral
AUAAGAAAGCCUUUAAUGUAUUGUGGCCAUGUAACCACUCUCCCAUCUUACCCAAGUUAUGCAGUCCUAGUUUUGUUAGUAUUUCUCCAUACAUGCUUUCUCCAAGUACAUUAGCACCUGUUGCAUGCUCUCAUGAGUGGACUAGCCCUAUAUUUCAUUCCUCUUCCUAUUGAGGUUCUCACUCCUGCACCAGAACGUUCUAGGAAAGUGCAAAUAUUAGCAACAGCAGGAUGUUCAUCUAAUUUGUGACUGUGAUUUCUCAGCUUUGUCCACGUGUGCUUUAUCCUAACAAGCUAACAUAGGAUCAUUGCUACAGUCUUUUUGGUGCUUCUCAGGUUCAAGCCCACAUUCUUCUCAUUUCUGGAUGCCACUUUCCAGCUAUCAGACUGUCUUCUUCACAGAGAAGGUGCACUGUAGAGCAGAGAUGGUGGGCUCAGCAAGAAGCAUGCAGAGAGCUACUCCUGGUCCCUUAACGGCCAUUUCCUCUUCUAUGCCCUUGUGCAUGCUGUUUGGUUGUAUUGGCAUUUCACCCAAUAGUCUCUUCUUCUCCAUGGAAAUCUUCUAUCCUUCUUUGGGACCCAGCCCAAAUGUCGUCUCAUUAAACCUCUAUGAUGGGUGAGGUACUUCAUUCUACUCCUGCAGACACCUUUAUUAUCUAGUCUCCAAAUGGAGGUCUAAGGCAUCAAGGUAGGGACUUUAAUUUUUUAAAUAUUCCCAGCAUCUAAAAAGUACUUGGCACAUAGUAGAUGUUCCAUAAAUGUUUGCUGAAUUAAUUAAUUAAAUACUGGCAUAUAGAAGAAAAAGGCUUGAAAGUCACUAGCAUGGAAGUUUUUUAUUGAAUUCCUAGGAGAGAGGAAAGGGAAAGAGAGAGCAAACAGCUCUCUGGAAUCCAGCCACAGAAAAACUUCAAUUGUGUGUGUGUGUGUGUGUGUGUGUGUGUGUGUGUGUGUGUGUAGUGGAAGGUGAGCUAGCAAAGGAAGUCAUGGUCUGCUCAGAUUGCUAGAAGAAGUAGGGUAUUGUCAUGUUACAGAUGUGGAGAAAGAGAGUUUCAAGAAGGAACAUUUUAAAAAUAAAAUCUAAGCCCUGAAUCUGGGCUCUGCAUGUUUGAGCCCCUGCCUACCUCUCUUC